GUAAGUAGUUCUGCCGAAGACAAUUGACAUUAGCUACAUUGUCUGCGCAAUUCUACUUAAAC
RNAcentral lists this microRNA precursor (62 nucleotides) under Blattella germanica (German cockroach). Its description in RNAcentral is "Bge-Mir-252-P1_pre stem-loop". Lineage: Eukaryota; Metazoa; Arthropoda; Insecta; Blattodea; Blattellidae. The record is from RNAcentral.